UUAGGAUGAUAUUAGUUCCUUAAGGUUGAGAGGUCCCCCUAGGGUUGAGUGGUCCCCACUGGGUUAAAAUAUUUAAUCCAAUAAUUAGAAAUGAUCAAAGAAAUUAAUCCAAAUGCUAAAAACUUGAUAGCAAAAAGAGACAAAUACUAUUAAUAGUAUUCUAACCAAACUUUCUCUCUCUCUCUCUCUCUCUUUCUCUUUCUCUCUCUAUAUAUAUAUAUAAAAUUGAGCUCCUAUGCUUUUAAAAAUACCAA
Molecule: long non-coding RNA, 254 nt
Filed under: Ananas comosus (pineapple)
Lineage: Eukaryota; Viridiplantae; Streptophyta; Magnoliopsida; Poales; Bromeliaceae
Description: long non-coding RNA (ACOM_LNC041139)
Source: RNAcentral